AAGUCGUAACAAGGUUUCCGUAGGUGAACCUGCGGAAGGAUCAUUAACGAAUAACUAUGGCGUUGGUUGUAGCUGGCUCCUCGGAGCAAUGUGCACGCCCGCCAUUUUUAUCUUUCCACCUGUGCACCGACUGUAGGUCUGGAUACCUCUCGCCUCCAGGCGGAUGCGAGGGUUGCUCGUAAGGGCUUCCCUUGAACUUCCAGGCUCUACGUCUUUUUACACACCCCAAUAGUAUGAUGCAGAAUGUAGUCAAUGGGCUUCUCAGCCUAUAAAACACUAUACAACUUUCAGCAACGGAUCUCUUGGCUCUC
This 311-nucleotide unclassified non-coding RNA is filed under the name Coprinellus sp. RNAcentral's name for it is "partial internal transcribed spacer region". The stretch from base 1 to 46 matches the Rfam family "Eukaryotic small subunit ribosomal RNA", at positions 1786 to 1831 of the family's 1831-position model. Lineage: Eukaryota; Fungi; Basidiomycota; Agaricomycetes; Agaricales; Psathyrellaceae. The record is from RNAcentral.